GAUGAACGCUGGCGGCGCGCCUAAUACAUACAAGUCGAGCGAACAGACGAGGAGCUUGCUCCUCUGACGUUAGCGGCGGACGGGUGAGUAACACGUGGAUAACCUACCUAUAAGACUGGGAUAACUUCGGGAAACCGGAGCUAAUACCGGAUAAUAUAUUGAACCGCAUGGUUCAAUAGUGAAAGACGGUUUUGCUGUCACUUAUAGAUGGAUCCGCGCCGCAUUAGCUAGUUGGUAAGGUAACGGCUUACCAAGGCAACGAUGCGUAGCCGACCUGAGAGGGUGAUCGGCCACACUGGAACUGAGACACGGUCCAGACUCCUACGGGAGGCAGCAGUAGGGAAUCUUCCGCAAAGGGCGAAAGCCUGACGGAGCAACGCCGCGUGAGUGAUGAAGGUCUUCGGAUCGUAAAACUCUGUUAUUAGGGAAGAACAAAUGUGUAAGUAACUAUGCACGUCUUGACGGUACCUAAUCAGAAAGCCACGGCUAACUACGUG
This 497-nucleotide ribosomal RNA is filed under the name uncultured bacterium. RNAcentral's name for it is "partial 16S ribosomal RNA". It matches the Rfam family "Bacterial small subunit ribosomal RNA", at positions 28 to 507 of the family's 1533-position model. The record is from RNAcentral.